Molecule: RNA transcript, 3975 nt
Organism: Gallus gallus (chicken)
Lineage: Eukaryota; Metazoa; Chordata; Aves; Galliformes; Phasianidae
Gene: PPP2R3C
Gene name: protein phosphatase 2 regulatory subunit B''gamma
Exons: 15
Source: RefSeq, a predicted model, not a curated record
ACCGCGCAUGCGCGGGGCCGCCGUGAGGUGCGGCGGGGCCAUGGACUGGAAGCGGAGCCUGAGGAACCGCCUGGCAGCGCGCUGUACCCCCAAAAAGAGCGAACAGGAACUGAAAGAUGAAGAGAUGGAGUUGUUCACAAAGUAUUACAUGGAAUGGAAAGGAGGAAGAGCUAGUGUCAAUACGUCGUAUGCAAACAUACCACGAUUUUAUUACAGGCUGCCAGCUGAAGAUGAAGUCUUGCUUCAAAAGUUAAGAGAAGAAUCUAGAGCAGUCUUUCUGCAAAGAAAGAGUAGAGAGCUGCUGGAUAAUGAAGAGCUUCAGAAUCUGUGGUUUCUACUGGACAAACAUCAGACAUCACCGAUGAUUGGGGAAGAAGCAAUGAUUAACUAUGAGAACUUCUUGAAAGUUGGUGAAAAAGCUGGACCUAAAUGCAAGCAGUUCUUCACAGCAAAGAUUUUUGCUAAAUUACUCCAUAAUGAUCCUUAUGGGAGGAUAUCUAUCAUGCAGUUUUUCAAUUAUGUCAUGCGAAAAGUGUGGCUUCAUCAGACAAGGAUAGGUCUCAGUUUAUAUGAUGUGGCAGGACAGGGCUACCUCAGAGAAUCAGAUUUAGAAAACUACAUUUUAGAACUCAUCCCUACUUUGCCACAACUGGAUGGCUUAGAAAAAUCUUUUUACUCCUUCUAUGUCUGCACAGCAGUUAGAAAGUUCUUCUUCUUUCUGGAUCCUCUCAGAACAGGGAAGAUAAAGAUACAGGACAUUUUAGCUUGCAGCUUCCUGGAUGACUUACUGGAGUUAAGGGAUGAAGAACUUUCUAAAGAAAGUCAGGAAACAAAUUGGUUUUCUGCUCCUUCCGCACUUAGAGUUUAUGGACAGUACUUAAACCUUGAUAAAGAUCACAAUGGCAUGCUCAGCAAAGAAGAGCUGUCCCGGUAUGGAACGGGGACGCUGACCAACAUAUUUCUGGACCGCGUCUUUCAGGAAUGCUUAACUUAUGAUGGAGAAAUGGACUAUAAAACCUACCUGGACUUUGUACUUGCAUUAGAAAACAGAAAGGAGCCUGCAGCUUUGCAAUAUAUUUUCAAACUGCUUGACAUUGAGAACAAAGGAUACCUGAAUGUCUUUUCCCUUAAUUAUUUCUUUAGGGCUAUUCAGGAACAAAUGAAAAUCCAUGGACAAGAACCAGUUUCUUUUCAGGAUGUCAAGGAUGAGAUCUUUGAUAUGGUAAAGCCUAAAGAUCCUUACAAAAUCUCCCUUCAAGAUUUAAUCAAUAGCAGUCAAGGAGACACUGUUACCAGUAUUCUAAUUGAUCUGAAUGGGUUCUGGACAUAUGAGAACAGAGAGGUCCUUGUGGCAAGUGAUAAUGACAGCGUUGCUGAUGCUGAUGAUACGUGACUUUCAACAGGAGUAAACUGCAUCCAUUGAGAUAUCUCUUAACUGAUGCCUUCAUUAACUACUGGAUGCUGGGAACAUUAUUUAAGUUGAUGCCUCUUCCAUUUUGCUGCCCUUCCAUCUUUAUCAUCCUCAGGCACGUAAGAUAAAAUGCAGUAUGUAGAAAUGAGUUCUGCAGAUCCUUUGAAAUGAAAACAACAGGUCUUGUUUCAGAGAAUGUGAAUUUAUCUUGAAAUUAAGGAUGUAUUUCUUGAAUACUCUCAGCACUGGCCUGUAUCCACUCAGCCACAGUGUUCUGCAUGGCUUUGUCUAAGGACAGCGCUGUUAAGCAGUCUACCCUAAAGGCAAAAAUCUUCCAUAAGAGGUACUGAUCCAUGCUCUCCCUUGCAGACCUUCAGGGUGGAAUGAUUUUACACAGCUGUCAGCACCCUCUGUAUUACCAUUCAAAACAAGGUAAAGAACAGAGCAUCAAAACAGAUGACCGAAUCUUUCUCAGAAGAGGUGCUGUAGUGUAGAAGGGCGCAUGAGAGAAGAAAGAAUUUACGUUAUAUGGGAUACCAGUUCAGAGAGCUGUCUGAAAUACGGAACUGAGCUCUGCAAAGUAAUGCCCAAGGAUCCUGGCCUGUGCUGUUCCAGCAUGCUCCUUGGUUAGCUGGUAGUGGGAAUAAGGCUGGGGAAGUAUGAUGACAUCCAACAGAAAAAUUCACUGAAGGUUCUUGAAAUUUUUGAGUUCUCAAGGACAGAAACAGUUAUUCAAAUGGCUACUACAUAUUAUAAGCUUUCUGCUCAUUCAUCUAUAAAUAUUCUGCAAAGGAAGUGACUGGGACACAGUUACUUAUUUCCCUGCCUGCAGCAGUGACUCCUGAUUGUCCCAAUGUAAACCAUUCACCUUUUGCAACUUAGAACUAGGAUCACAGUCAUUGCAAUAAAAUCCUUUAAUUGGUAAUUGGGGGCAGUUAAAAACUGGAGUGAAACUGCAUUUCACUUAAAAAAGAAUGAGUUUUGUUUCAAUACUGAAACAAGUUUUUUUGUUUUUCAUUUAAAAGACGAUACAUAGGCCUGGUUCUGUGACUUCCAGUUAUUUAUGAAUUCUGCACUAGGGGGGGAAAGAUACCUGCAAUAGCACAUUCCUUACUCAUAACUGAACGUUAAACAAACUGCCUGUUCAGGUUAAUUAGGUACACUGAUUCAGGUAUCGUAUGACAAAAAGGAAAAAAAAAAGUUGUAGUUACAGGUUGGUACCAUACACAACGUCUACCACAUUCACUCUAAUUUAGCAAGACUUCAGUUUACUCUCCAUGCCAAUUCAGAGCAUGUAGGGAAGUAUUUGAACAGGUGGUUCACUAUUAAUUCUUGGAUCUAGAGGGACAGCAUCUUAUGCUGACACUAGUUCUGUACUUGAUUACAGCACUAAAUGGAACGGCUGAGCAGUAUCAGCUUCCAGCAGUGCUGCUACUAGUACCUAUGUACUCGGGGAUGUUUAUAGGCUCCUUUAAAGUUAAGAGUAACAAUAAAGUGUUUCAUUGGGCCCUUAAAUCUAAUUAACGUUAAAUCUAACAUCUCUUGUGUCAGUAACAGAAAGAUACAUGCACACAGUAGUGACAACAAAUAGGGGAAUUCAGAAGCUACUCUGACUUGUGAGUUAGAGGAUAUUGAUUCCUACUAAUCUAUUCAUAGAGAGCCAAGUUGCAAACAGUGUACAAAUCAGAAAUAGGUGUUUAGAAGUAGCAAAGAGCACUACAUCUGCAAUCCACAGUGCCAGACAAGAAUUUAAAUGUUUUACUUGCUUUACAAGAAAUUCAAUUUUAGACCAAAUGUUUGUAGUACAAUUUUCAUUUUAACUGAAGUGCCAAUUUGGCAGAAUGCCUCAGCCUUUAUUAGACUGACAGAAUGAAGAGAUAUCACUUAGCUCUCUCCUGAUCAAUAAGAAUGCUAAAAGUUGUAUUACACUGAACAAAUAUAAUCCUAUUUUUCUGCUUGUAGCCAGACUGUGACACCUGACACUCUCUAUUUCCUACAGUAUACAGAGCUUUUCACUUAAGUAGGGACAGAAACUACAUCUUGUUUAUUUUCCACAACAGACUGGCAAUCUCCCUCAUUUUCGAAGUUUACAUUCACAAAGGAAGUACUUGUUGUUGCUUCAGGCUGCUCUGUUUGGACAGGAGCCUCAGCCUGUGGCUUGUUCUGCUGCUCCUGAUGCUGUCUUUCUGCUUCUUCUGACAUCCUGUUUUCCUGUUCCUCCUCUUCUUCCUAAAAUAAACAGCCAGGUUCAUAAGCUGCUGUUUCCUUGAAGUAAAUAAGGCUUAUAUUCUGUAAGAACAUAUCAGUUCCCAUUACAAGACACAAAUAUUUGUUCUGCUUAAUAACAGUCACUAGCUUAUUGUAAUUCCACUAGCUUAUUGUAAUUGUGAAAUUACACUUCCGAAAAGUAAAGGGUUAAACUGUGUCCCACCAACACAGAAAAAAUGAUGUGUCUAGAUAAGCAGUCUUUAGUGAACAGUAGUGAUAGAUUUACUUUCUAUGAAGCAUUUCAAUGCUAUUUUAAUAAUAAAAAAGCUAUUAAAAUAAGUGUUAAAAGUGUUAAA